RNAcentral lists this ribosomal RNA (493 nucleotides) under Escherichia coli. RNAcentral describes it as "bacterial LSU rRNA". It matches the Rfam family "Bacterial large subunit ribosomal RNA", at positions 1 to 524 of the family's 2925-position model. Lineage: Bacteria; Pseudomonadati; Pseudomonadota; Gammaproteobacteria; Enterobacterales; Enterobacteriaceae. The record is from RNAcentral.
GGGUUGUGAGGUUAAGCGACUAAGCGUACACGGUGGAUGCCCUGGCAGUCAGAGGCGAUGAAGGACGUGCUAAUCUGCGAUAAGCGUCGGUAAGGUGAUAUGAACCGUUAUAACCGGCGAUUUCCGAAUGGGGAAACCCAGUGUGUUUCGACACACUAUCAUUAACUGAAUCCAUAGGUUAAUGAGGCGAACCGGGGGAACUGAAACAUCUAAGUACCCCGAGGAAAAGAAAUCAACCGAGAUUCCCCCAGUAGCGGCGAGCGAACGGGGAGCAGCCCAGAGCCUGAAUCAGUGUGUGUGUUAGUGGAAGCGUCUGGAAAGGCGCGCGAUACAGGGUGACAGCCCCGUACACAAAAAUACACAUAUUGUGAGCUCGAUGAGUAGGGCGGGACACGUGGUAUCCUGUCUGAAUAUGGGGGGACCAUCCUCCAAGGCUAAAUACUCCUGACUGACCGAUAGUGAACCAGUACCGUGAGGGAAAGGCGAAAAGAAC